CACGAAACUAUGUGAGUUAAUUUUAGUAUGUUAUCAUGUAGCAGAAUGAUAAGAUUAAUUAAAAUUAGGGGUGAUAGGCUUUACAAACAUAGUGAUAUCUUGAUUCUUUUGAAAUGUAUUAGUACAGGAACAGAUUUAAAGCUAUAAGGUUUUAAAUAAUAAUGAAAUUUGAAUAAAGCUCUAUAAGAUAUAAAAGUCUAUGUAUCUCUCAAAUAAUAAUUUUUGUUAUAUAAUUAUUAAUUUUAAAAAGAUAUAUAAUAACUCAAAUAGUAUUAAUAAUGUUACUAUAAGUAUUAAGAAGAUAUUAAUAGUGAACUCGGCAUUAAGUUUUCAACUGUUUAUCAAAAACAUAGCUGCGUGUAAUUACACGCAGUGUUUUCUGCUCAAUGAAUAUUAAAUAGCCGCAGUACCUUGACUGUGCAAAGGUAGCGUAAUCAUUUGUCUUUUAAUUGAAGUCGUGUAUGAACGAAUAUAUGGAGACUUUCUUUACCAUUAAUAAUUUAAGAAAUUACUUAAUGAGUGAAAAAUCUCAUAAUUAAAUAAUAGACGAGAAGACCCUAGAAAUUUAUAUUGACAUUUUGUUGGGGCAACAUAGUAACAAUUAACUUACUAUAUGUAUAUGAAAUAUAUUAGGUAACUUAAAUUACUCUAGGGAUAACAGCAUAAUAUUAAGAUGUUUGUGACCUCGAUGUUGGAUUAGGGAGUUAUAGUUAGAA
This 716-nucleotide ribosomal RNA is filed under the name Setobaudinia herculea. RNAcentral describes it as "partial 16S ribosomal RNA". The stretch from base 319 to 483 matches the Rfam family "Archaeal large subunit ribosomal RNA", at positions 1876 to 2091 of the family's 2987-position model. The record is from RNAcentral. Lineage: Eukaryota; Metazoa; Mollusca; Gastropoda; Stylommatophora; Camaenidae.